Molecule: ribosomal RNA, 124 nt
Filed under: Marmota marmota marmota (Alpine marmot)
Lineage: Eukaryota; Metazoa; Chordata; Mammalia; Rodentia; Sciuridae
Source: RNAcentral
GUCUACGGCCAUACCAUCCUGAACGCGCCCGAUCUCGUCUGAUCUCGGAAGCUAAGCAGGGUCGGGCCUGGUUAGUACUUGGAUGGGAGACCAAAAUAAAAAAUUAUGCAUGCAAAUGUGGUCA